Molecule: ribosomal RNA, 252 nt
Filed under: uncultured bacterium
Lineage: Bacteria
Description: partial 16S ribosomal RNA
Rfam family: Bacterial small subunit ribosomal RNA
Source: RNAcentral
UACGUAGGGGGCAAGCGUUGUCCGGAUUUAUUGGCGUAAAGAGCGUGUAGGCGGCCAUACAGGUCAGCUGUGAAAACUCGAGGCUCAACCUCGAGACGUCGGUUGAAACCGUAUGGCUAGAGUCCGGAAGAGGAGAGUGGAAUUCCCGGUGUAGCGGUGAAAUGCGCAGAUAUCGGGAAGAACACCUAUGGCGAAGGCAGCUCUCUGGGACGGUACUGACGCUGAGACGCGAAAGCGUGGGGAGCGAACAGG